RNAcentral lists this ribosomal RNA (446 nucleotides) under uncultured bacterium. RNAcentral's name for it is "partial 16S ribosomal RNA". It matches the Rfam family "Bacterial small subunit ribosomal RNA", at positions 338 to 795 of the family's 1533-position model. The record is from RNAcentral.
CCUACGGGAGACAGCAGUCGAGAAUCAUUCACAAUGGGGGAAACCCUGAUGGUGCGACGCCGCGUGGGGGAAUGAAGGUCUUCGGAUUGUAAACCCCUGUCAUGUGGGAGCAAAUUAAAAAGAUAGUACCACAAGAGGAAGAGACGGCUAACUCUGUGCCAGCAGCCGCGGUAAUACAGAGGUCUCAAGCGUUGUUCGGAAUCACUGGGCGUAAAGCGUGCGUAGGCUGUUUCGUAAGUCGUGUGUGAAAGGCGCGGGCUCAACCCGCGGACGGCACAUGAUACUGCGAGACUAGAGUAAUGGAGGGGGAACCGGAAGUAUCGGUGUAGCAGUGAAAUGCGGAGAUAUCGAGAGGAACACUCGUGGCGAAGGCGGGUUCCUGGACAUUAACUGACGCUGAGGCACGAAGGCCAGGGGAGCGAAAGGGAUUAGAUACCCCAGUAGUC